This is a long non-coding RNA of Panicum virgatum (switchgrass), 2258 nucleotides long. RefSeq lists it as uncharacterized. The record is from RefSeq and is a predicted model, not a curated record. NCBI's taxonomy places the organism in Eukaryota, Viridiplantae, Streptophyta, Magnoliopsida, Poales, Poaceae. The transcript has 4 exons.
GCCUCCCGCCGCUUCGUCUUUACCGAUUACCGAUCCAAAAAAAAAAAAAAAAACAAGCCCUCGCCUCCCACUGCUUCCCCGCAGCCCUCGCCGACGAUCCCCCGAGGCCCCGACACGCCGCCGUCGCGGUCGGGGCAAGGCACCCCGCGCUGCUCACGCCGGCCGCCGCCGCAGCCUCGCUUGCUCGAGCUGACGGAGGGGGCAAGGGUGGAGCACGGGGACGAGGCCGACCUAGGUGGCGCGCCUGCGCGUGCGCCGGGCGGCAGGAGCGUCGUCGGUAGGCGAGAGGAACUUGAGCUUGGCCCUGGGUCCGCGGAUGUCGCGACCUGACGAGGUUCGAGUUCGUGCUCUCCGUGGAUCACGGCUUCCGAACAGGAUGCCAGUGUACUCCGCCUCCCAAGCCGCCCCUGAAUCUCCACCGCGGCCAUGAAGCCACAAGAUCUGCAGAUCCACGGGAUGGCGGCGCCAAGUAAGAGCACCUCCUUGCUUCCCUCUAUACGAGAUGAGAAGUGCACUGCACCAUCCCGCCGACUGAAGUUCUGCAAUUGCCAGAGCCUCCACUGCCUGUAAGGUGUUCGACAAAAUGCCAAGCUUCCAGACGCAUAGCAACUUUAAUUUAUGAAGGUACCUCUUCUCUGUUCUGCAAAUGACAUCAAGUUCAGUAAGAGAUGGAGUUGUCUUGUAACGAGAGCAAUUUCUCAAAAUAAAUUAAUUUUGGGAUUUCCAUGGGUAACCACCUGACCAAGAUAUCACCAUGAUUUGCUUCCACCGUGGCCAUUCAUCUUAUGGUAGCAUAAUUCAUCUAAUCACACCAGCCACUCAUCGGUUGCAACACAUAAGCUGUGUGAACAAUCACGCUGGUAAGUGGUAAUUUCUUCCAUGCUUCUAUCCUGGGGGUAAUGGUGUUACUAUUAAUUGCGUUGCUCAGUUUUUUUUUUUCAUAUGUUAUAUUGCAAUGAAGCUUUGUUCAUCUUGACAGAACAUUGACUUGAAACCAUCGAUGUUUAAAUUUUCAAGAUAGAAGGACAGAGGGCAUAGUUUGAAUAAUUUUAAUGUGCUUCAUGGAAGCAAUCAUGACUACACCGACGCAAAAACGACCUGCGCUGAGUGACAUCACAAACACCCAGAAUACAGGCUAAAGGUCAUUGAGGAAGAUAAUUCUGGUGCCCAUCGGAGGGGUGGGCGGCGCUGAGGCGUCCAUGUUGGAUUCGAGCGGAGCAGGCUCACCACGAAAUUGCCCAUUCAUCGUCGAAGGCCGCGAAGGCAGCCGGCCGGGGAUCGGCGAGGGCGGCUGCGACGCAGGCCUAGAGGUGAAGGUGAAGUCACCAAAAUCGAAGUUGUCGUCGAGGAAGGGCAAGGGGGCGGCGGGAACGGCAUCCAUUGCGUGGCGGAGCACGCGUGUUGGUCGGCGGCUGGAAAUGGAGGGAAUAAUGCGACGCACUGUUUUUAAUUGAUGAGAAAGUGAUGGUAGAUCGAGUACCUGACAUUGCUUACAGCUUAUCUGACCAAUUGAUGUAUAAUGCAAGUUUUCAAUUGCCUAUUUGCAUCCCUGCUUUGCUGGACACUGCCAGUUAAAUAGAAACUAAAAGUUUGACAGUAAAAUAUUUAGAGCCAUAUCUUUUUCUAUGAUUUUUCUGUUCUUGACUUUAUCCAGUAUGUGUUGCCAGCACUGUUUACUGAAACCAAUUAGAGUUUCAUCAUUCAGUCCUAUGCAGUUCUGAUAUACCAUUUACACUCAUAUGUAUUUCCUUGCCAUGUUACGUUAUGGAGAGGAGAUUGUUUGGCCUUGAUCAAAGCUUUGAUAGCAAGACGGAGACUGAAAUUCAUAGUGUUGAGAAGUUACCAGAUAUUCGUGCAAAUGAAGGGGUUAGCCCCUCCAGAAAAAUAAACUACAAAAUGAGUCUUAUGAUGGAGUAAACACAAAGUUGCAUGUGUCCAAAGAUAGUGAUGAUGCCCCAAGUGAAGUGAGAAGAAUGUGCAUUCCAAAGGGCUUAAUGGUAUUACUUCAUCCAAGGUUGCUGAGCAAAUAAUGGACAAUUCCUUGAGGAUUGCUGAUGCAAGUUCACGUGGACCAAGCAAUCUUGGCAAAGACUUGGCUACGGCUCAACCAACAGCUCAUUGUCCUCCUUUUGACCAGGGAGGCCCCACCUUCCCUAGAGUCUUGUCGCCGUGGGGCAAAGUGGGUCCUUCCCAGGUGAGGCGGAGCUCUCCCGCGAGGGUCGGGCGAGGCGGAACCCUCCCACGGGGGUUGGGGGUCA